Non-coding RNA from Monodelphis domestica (gray short-tailed opossum), 4307 nucleotides. Lineage: Eukaryota; Metazoa; Chordata; Mammalia; Didelphimorphia; Didelphidae. The record is from RefSeq and is a predicted model, not a curated record.
UUCUGGGAAAUGGAGUUCUCCAUGGAGAGGGACAAGACCUGAAUGGUGUCCUGACACAGGCAUUCUGGGAAAUGGAGUUCUCCAAGGUCCCUGUGUUGAGCCUCCUGGUGGGGGAGGGGUCAUAUAGGAAAUGUUCCCCAGCUGGGCGGCUGCAGCCUUCUCACCUCCCCCCAUUUCCCCUCCAGCCCUGCCCUGCUGCUGCUUAGUUCCACUGCAGGCUGCCUCAGGCUAGAUCCUGGCACACAGCAGGUGCCUAAUAAGUGUCUACUGAUUGACUGAUCAGGGAAUGGAUCCAGCCUUCCCUAGGACCUGAGGGGGGGUGCCAGGAUCCCCCUUCUGACAGAGAAGGAAACUGAGGCACUGGGCAGCAGCUGAUCCUCCAGGCCCAGGCCCCUCCCACAGUUUCCCCUCCUCCAGUGAUUUCUCUGAAUUUCCUGCUGCUCCUUCUGCUUUGGGGUGAUCCUGGGGGUUCCCGCAAGGAGAGGCCAACCCUCUCCCCAGAGGAGGCAUCAGGUGACUCCGGGGCUGCCCUCCUGGGGCUGGAACCCCCAAGAUCUGGGCUCAAACCUGGCCUCAGACACAGCCCAGCUGGGGGAGCCUGGCCAAGGCCUUUCCCAGCCUUUGCCUCAGUUUCCCCCAUGGUGAGAUCCAGACAAUAAGAGCCUGAGCUGGGCCUGUGGGGAAGCGGGUCCACCGAGGGUCUGGGGGGUGGGGGGGGAACAAAGCUGCUUCCUCGGGGUCUCCUGGGCCUCUGGGCCAGCCGCGGAGGGUCUCAUCUCUAAUCUGGUCCCAGAAUCUCUAGCUGGGUGACCUUUACUGCUACCUGACACAAUUUCCUCAGUGGGAAAAUGAGAAGCUCCCUCCCAGGUUUGGUGUGGGGAUCAAAAGAGAAUCUUUGGAAAAUUCUUAGCACUGGAUCUGCUACAUAAUGGUUCUAGUUAGAUGCUUGAUAUCUUUAUUACAUUCCUUCAUUCAUUUACUUAUUCAUCUAUUUUUAUAUCCACAUCUGAUCUUCUAAAGCUUUUAAAUUCUCUCAAGAUAGAGUAUAUUUGAUAAAACUCAGUCAAUGAGUUGUCAAUCAAUGAGGCUGCCCACCUUGGCUCCAAGAUGGCUCCUGCUCCUGGCCUUUCUCUCACUCACCUGGCCCAGCUGAUCCCAGCCCCAGCAAAUCUGUCCUCAGACCCAGAUGGCUCAUCGCCCCAGGACCCAGGCUGCUGGUAGCAGACCCAAUUUCUUCAGGAUCAAAAACCAGCUGGGGAAAGUAUGGUCAUUCAACACAAUAGAAGAAUUCCAAACAUUCGUAAAGAAAAGACCAGACCUGAACAGAAAAUUUGAUGUCCAAGCACAGAACUCAAGGGAAUCAUCAAAAGGUACUCACCUAUUUCUUAAAUGGUCUCUUCUGGAUCUAUUUUCAAGGUUAGUUUUUUUAAAGACAUAUUUCACAUUUUCUUCAAUUUUAUCAUUCUUCUGAUUUUAUUUCAUUGUUUCUUAAUGUCUCAUAAAGAUAUUAGUUUCUAUUUCCCCAAUUCUGAUUUUUUUAAAAUAUUUUCUUCCUUGACCUUUUGAAACUCCUCUUCCAUUUGUUCAAUUCUGCUUUUUAGAAAACUCUUCUCUUCAUUGGAUUUUGGUGUCCCUUUUUCCAUUUUUCCCCUACCAAUUUUACUGCUCAGAUUGUUAUCUUCUUUUUGCAUUCUUUUCUUUUCCCAAUUUCUUCCCCUUCUCUUAUUUGAGAUUUGAAUUUCUUUUUGAACUCUUCCAGCAGCUGAGAAGAAUUCUCAUUUUUCUAUAAAGUUUUGCAUGUACUUGCCUUGAUCUCACUGUUCCCUACUGAGUAUCCUCCUUUUUUCUUUUUUUUGUCUCCAUUGAAAUUUUCUCUAGUUAGGUAUUUCUUUUGCCCUUUGCUCAUGCUCAUUUUCUCAAACUUAAAAAAAAAACUUUUAUCUUAAAAGAUCUCAGUUUCUUCAGGUUUUGUUUUAUUUUUUUUUCAAGUUGGGAUGAUAGCCUGUGAGACUCAGGAGUUCUGAAAGCUAUUGAUUCAAUCCCUCUAGGGAUAGCUUGUUGAUAGCUUACAGAUCUCAGAGCACUGGGAGCUACUUUGCCAUGGGGCUGGGGGCUUCACUAUAGGUUUGAAGGGGCCAAGUACUCCAUACUUUGGGGCUCACUGCAGGCUUGUGCCAGGGCUUGGGAAUUCUAGGGAUGGGUGUGGGAGGCUCUGCUCUUAGCUUAGGCAGGGUCCUGGGGUCUUCAAGUUGGUUUGUGCUCAGGAUCAGAACCUGGUGCAGUAGCUGAGGGGUGAGCUGCCUAUACUCCUUUGUGCACAGUUUUCCUUCUGGUAUAAAUAGAUCUUCUGUGUCUAACUUUCAUGUAGUUUUCUGCAGAACAGUUACUUCACUCCAUCCCCUUCUUGGUUCUGUGACUCCAGGUUUUUUCAGGCUCUAUUUUAAGGUUCUUUUGAGAGGAUUCUCCUAGCGGUUCCAGCUUUUGCUGCUACUAAGCCAUCAUCUUCCCCCUUAAAUGUUUUAACCAACUAUCUUUAAUAUUGUAGGCUUUAAAUUAAUGUCUACUACUUCAAGUAUUACAUUUCUAAAGUUUAAUAUAUGACAAAAUGGAACCCCGUGCUUAAUUUUUCUAUCUGCUCAAAAAUCCUCACUCCACCAAAGCCCUAAGAGGAAGGGUAAAAGAGUAAGAGAUGGAGCUACACCAAAUUUAUAUUCUGCCUAUGUCAACACAUAUCAACAGGAAGUGAGUAGGGUGCUGGGAAUCAUCGUUUUGUUGGGAAUUGUAGUUUUUUUUGUAUAACAGACUCAAAUUAUACACUAUGGUGCUUGUAACCAAGGAACAAUCACUUUAAAAGUAGACAUUUUCAUAGGGAUUAGAGUCUUAGAAAGCAUUUUACAAAUAUUGUCUCACUUAAUCCUUACACCAAUCAUGAGGAGUAGAUGGUCUUAUUGCCUCCUUCUCCAAGGGGAAAACUGACGCAGAAAUAAGUCCAGGGUCAUAGAGCAUCUCAGUGCCAGAGACCGAAAUGGCAUUCAGGCCUCAUGGCUCCAAGCACAGAAUGUCAUCCCCUGGAUCACCUAGAUGCUGAGAGAAAACAUUACAGACAUCCAUAACUGAGUCACCAAAAUGUUUAUACAAAGCUUUUCUAUGGCACCCAACAGUUGGAAACCAAUGAGUACUAUUGAGUAGCUGAGUGGUUGAAGAUAUUAUCCUGAGAGGAAAAUGGUCUGGGAGAAACUGAGUAGCCUAGUUCAGGUGAGGCAUCUUCACUGAGCUCUCUCAAAGUUUAGGCUGAUUCUUUGCUCUUUUACCUUCCAAACUCUAUCCUCUUAGGAAAGCCUCUAAUCUUCUGAAAAGACUGUGUGGCUGAGGUCUUUGAACUCCCCCUGGCAAAGGCCAGGCAGGAGAAAUGCUAUACCCUUCCUCUCCCUCUUCUCCUUAAUUCCUUCCCUCCAUAUUAAUUAAACCACCAUAAAAUUUUUAAACUGAUUUGGGUACUUUUUGGGGGAUAUUCCCUGGCAACUAAAUUAAUUUAGAUUAAGGCACAACCCUAAAAUUACCCAUAAACAGGCUGAAUUAGAAAUCCAGAUUAUGUAGACAAAGAAAUGAAAGCCUUGUAAGAGUAUGUGCCUUUAAACUGUGGUUAUUCCUUCAGAGGGUGUAGACCAAUGCUGAAUGAGGAGAAAUCCCACCAUCUGGAGGUAAGAGAAGAUAAGGGAGGAUAUGGGCAGAACUAAUAUCUGGGAUAAAGGCAGGAGCUUCAGAACUGGGAGAGGCAAGAGGCCAGGUAAGAUAACAAGAGGCACCUGGCCUGCAAUCUCUGAUGGAGAAUCCUGAUUGAUCUUAGCCCUGGUGAGUCCUUUCAGUAGGGGCUUCUGUUCUGGUCUCAUUGGUCUGAACAUGGGGCUUCUCUAUUGAAACUCUGCCCACUGUGGAGUCUGUCCCUGUUAUGGCUGAGUCUGCCCCACUCUCUUCUCUUCCCUGGGUCCUCCUCACACCCCAGCUCUCAGAGGAGUCCUCCCUUCUGUCUUGAUGAAGUUCCUCAAGCCUGAGACCUCCAGAAGUCAGCCCUAAACUUUAAAGGAGAGGAGGCUCUGGCUUUUCCUGGUGGCUUCAGUUCUCCAGCAAAAUCCAACAAUUCAACCCUCAUCCACUAAACUUCUGCUAGGUGCUAGAGGCCAAGUCUGGCUAAUGGAGAGUUAGAGGACAAAGGCAAAUAGUUCCUGUCCUCUGGCAACUUCCCAUCUACACCAAGGCACUCAGAUAAGGGAUCAGGGAAUUGAAGGACAGAGAGACUCCACAUUGAU